CUAGCAUUCAAUAAGCGGAGGAAAAGAAACCAACAGGGAUUGCCCUAGUAACGGCGAGUGAAGCGGCAACAGCUCAAAUUUGAAAUCUGGCGUCUUUGGCGUCCGAGUUGUAAUUUGCAGAGGGCGCUUUGGUAUUGGCAGCGGUCCAAGUUCCUUGGAACAGGACGUCACAGAGGGUGAGAAUCCCGUACGUGGUCGCUAACCUUUACCGUGUAAAGCCCCUUCGACGAGUCGAGUUGUUUGGGAAUGCAGCUCUAAAUGGGAGGUAAAUUUCUUCUAAAGCUAAAUACUGGCCAGAGACCGAUAGCGCACAAGUAGAGUGAUCGAAAGAUGAAAAGCACUUUGGAAAGAGAGUUAAAAAGCACGUGAAAUUGUUGAAAGGGAAGCGCUUGCAGCCAGACUUGCUUGUAGUUGCUCAUCCGGGUUUUUACCCGGUGCACUCUUCUAUAAGCAGGCCAGCAUCAGUUUGGGCGGUUGGAUAAAGGUCUCUGUCAUGUACCUCUCUUCGGGGAGAACUUAUAGGGGAGACGACAUGCAACCAGCCUGGACUGAGGUCCGCGCAUCUGCUAGGAUGCUGGCGUAAUGGCUGUAAGCGGCCCGUCUUGAAACACGGACCAAGGAGUCUAACAUCUAUGCGAGUGUUUGGGUGUCAAGCCCGAGCGCGUAAUGAAAGUGAACGGAGGUGGGAACCUUUCGGGGUGCACCAUCGACCGAUCCUGAUGUCUUCGGAUGGAUUUGAGUAAGAGCAUAGCUGUUGGGACCCGAAAGAUGGUGAACUAUGCUUGAAUAGGGUGAAGCCAGAGGAAACUCUGGUGGAGGCUCGCAGCGGUUCUGACGUGCAAAUCGAUCGUCAAAUUUGGGCAUAGGGGCGAAAGACUAAUCGAACUAUCUAGUAGCUGGUUCCUUGCCGAAUUUCCCCCUCAAGGAAA
RNAcentral lists this ribosomal RNA (929 nucleotides) under Sclerophomella complanata. Its description in RNAcentral is "Calophoma complanata partial large subunit ribosomal RNA". It matches the Rfam family "Eukaryotic large subunit ribosomal RNA", at positions 33 to 980 of the family's 3401-position model. The record is from RNAcentral. Lineage: Eukaryota; Fungi; Ascomycota; Dothideomycetes; Pleosporales; Didymellaceae.